RNAcentral lists this ribosomal RNA (2040 nucleotides) under Campylobacter jejuni. RNAcentral's name for it is "partial 23S ribosomal RNA". It matches the Rfam family "Bacterial large subunit ribosomal RNA", at positions 1 to 2045 of the family's 2925-position model. Lineage: Bacteria; Pseudomonadati; Campylobacterota; Epsilonproteobacteria; Campylobacterales; Campylobacteraceae. The record is from RNAcentral.
AGGUAAGCUACUAAGAGCGAAUGGUGGAUGCCUUGACUGGUAAAGGCGAUGAAGGACGUACUAGACUGCGAUAAGCUACGGGGAGCUGUCAAGAAGCUUUGAUCCGUAGAUUUCCGAAUGGGGCAACCCAAUGUAUAGAGAUAUACAUUACCUAUAUAGGAGCGAACGAGGGGAAUUGAAACAUCUUAGUACCCUCAGGAAAAGAAAUCAAUAGAGAUUGCGUCAGUAGCGGCGAGCGAAAGCGCAAGAGGGCAAACCCAGUGCUUGCACUGGGGGUUGUAGGACUGCAAUGUGCAAGAGGUAAGUUUAGCAGAACAUUCUGGAAAGUAUAACCAUAGAGGGUGAUAGUCCCGUAUGCGAAAAACAAACCUUAGCUAGCAGUAUCCUGAGUAGGGCGGGACACGAGGAAUCCUGUCUGAAUCCGGGUCGACCACGAUCCAACCCUAAAUACUAAUACCAGAUCGAUAGUGCACAAGUACCGUGAGGGAAAGGUGAAAAGAACUGAGGUGAUCAGAGUGAAAUAGAACCUGAAACCAUUUGCUUACAAUCAUUCAGAGCCCUAUGUAGCAAUACAGGGUGAUGGACUGCCUUUUGCAUAAUGAGCCUGCGAGUUGUGGUGUCUGGCAAGGUUAAGCAAACGCGAAGCCGUAGCGAAAGCGAGUCUGAAUAGGGCGCUUAGUCAGAUGCUGCAGACCCGAAACGAAGUGAUCUAUCCAUGAGCAAGUUGAAGCUAGUGUAAGAACUAGUGGAGGACUGAACCCAUAGGCGUUGAAAAGCCCCGGGAUGACUUGUGGAUAGGGGUGAAAGGCCAAUCAAACUUCGUGAUAGCUGGUUCUCUCCGAAAUAUAUUUAGGUAUAGCGUUGUGUCGUAAUAUAAGGGGGUAGAGCACUGAAUGGGCUAGGGCAUACACCAAUGUACCAAACCCUAUCAAACUCCGAAUACCUUAUAUGUAAUCACAGCAGUCAGGCGGCGAGUGAUAAAAUCCGUCGUCAAGAGGGAAACAACCCAGACUACCAGCUAAGGUCCCUAAGUCUUACUUAAGUGGAAAACGAUGUGAAGUUACUUAAACAACCAGGAGGUUGGCUUAGAAGCAGCCAUCCUUUAAAGAAAGCGUAAUAGCUCACUGGUCUAGUGAUUUUGCGCGGAAAAUAUAACGGGGCUAAAGUAAGUACCGAAGCUGUAGACUUAGUUUACUAAGUGGUAGGAGAGCGUUCUAUUUGCGUCGAAGGUAUACCGGUAAGGAGUGCUGGAGCGAAUAGAAGUGAGCAUGCAGGCAUGAGUAGCGAUAAUUAAUGUGAGAAUCAUUAACGCCGUAAACCCAAGGUUUCCUACGCGAUGCUCGUCAUCGUAGGGUUAGUCGGGUCCUAAGUCGAGUCCGAAAGGGGUAGACGAUGGCAAAUUGGUUAAUAUUCCAAUACCAACAUUAGUGUGCGAUGGAAGGACGCUUAGGGCUAAGGGGGCUAGCGGAUGGAAGUGCUAGUCUAAGGUCGUAGGAGGUUAUAUAGGCAAAUCCGUAUAACAAUACUCCGAGAACUGAAAGGCUUUUUGAAGUCUUCGGAUGGAUAGAAGAACCCCUGAUGCCGUCGAGCCAAGAAAAGUUUCUAAGUUUAGCUAAUGUUGCCCGUACCGUAAACCGACACAGGUGGGUGGGAUGAGUAUUCUAAGGCGCGUGGAAGAACUCUCUUUAAGGAACUCUGCAAAAUAGCACCGUAUCUUCGGUAUAAGGUGUGGUUAGCUUUGUAUUAGGAUUUACUCCGAAAGCAAGGAAACUUACAACAAAGAGUCCCUCCCGACUGUUUACCAAAAACACAGCACUCUGCUAACUCGUAAGAGGAUGUAUAGGGUGUGACGCCUGCCCGGUGCUCGAAGGUUAAUUGAUGGGGUUAGCAUUAGCGAAGCUCUUGAUCGAAGCCCGAGUAAACGGCGGCCGUAACUAUAACGGUCCUAAGGUAGCGAAAUUCCUUGUCGGUUAAAUACCGACCUGCAUGAAUGGCGUAACGAGAUGGGAGCUGUCUCAAAGAGGGAUCCAGUGAAAUUGU